ACACACACACACACACACAGACUGCCGAGUACACACACACACAGACUGCCGAGUGUACACACACACAGACUGCUAAAUACACACACUGCAUUGAGGGGUACAGUGUAUGUGUUUGUGUGUGCGGUGAUGUGUUUGUGUGUGGGGUGAUGUGUUUGUGUGUGGGGUGAUGUGUUUGUGUGGUGUGUGUGUGUGGGGUGAUGUGUGUGUGUUUGUGUGGGGUGAUAUGUGUAGGGCAGGGGUGCUGUGUGUAUGUCGUCCCCUCUCUCC
This is a non-coding RNA of Pelobates cultripes (western spadefoot toad), 267 nucleotides long. NCBI's taxonomy places the organism in Eukaryota, Metazoa, Chordata, Amphibia, Anura, Pelobatidae. The record is from the annotation of a GenBank genome assembly.